Molecule: ribosomal RNA, 497 nt
Filed under: uncultured bacterium
Lineage: Bacteria
Description: partial 16S ribosomal RNA
Rfam family: Bacterial small subunit ribosomal RNA
Source: RNAcentral
GAUGAACGCUGGCGGCGUGCCUAAUACAUGCAAGUCGAGCGAACGGACGAGAAGCUUGCUUCUCUGAUGUUAGCGGCGGACGGGUGAGUAACACGUGGAUAACCUACCUAUAAGACUGGGAUAACUUCGGGAAACCUGAGCUAAUACCGGAUAAUAUUUUGAACCGCAUGGUUCAUAAGUGAAAGACGGUCUUGCUGUCACUUAUAGAUGGAUCCGCGCUGCAUUAGCUAGUUGGUAAGGUAACGGCUUACCAAGGCAACGAUGCGUAGCCGACCUGAGAGGGUGAUCGGCCACACUGGAACUGAGACACGGUCCAGACUCCUACGGGAGGCAGCAGUAGGGAAUCUUCCGCAAUGGGCGAAAGCCUGACGGAGCAACGCCGCGUGAGUGAUGAAGGUCUUCGGAUCGUAAAACUCUGUUAUUAGGGAAGAACAUAUGUGUAAGUAACUGUGCACAUCUUGACGGUACCUAAUCAGAAAGCCACGGCUAACUACGUG